UACGGAGGGGGGCUAGCGUUGUUCGGAAUUACUGGGGCGUAAAAGCGCACGUAGGCGGCUUUGUAAGUUAGAGGUGAAAGCCCAGGGCUUAACCCUGGAAUUGCCUUUUAAGACUGCAUCGCUAGAAUCGUGGAGAGGUGAGUGGAAUUCCGAGUGUAGAGGUGAAAUUCGUAGAUAUUCGGAAGAACACCAGUGGCGAAGGCGACUCACUGGACACGUAUUGACGCUGAGGUGCGAAAGCGUGGGGAGCAAACAGGG
This 258-nucleotide ribosomal RNA is filed under the name uncultured bacterium. Its description in RNAcentral is "partial 16S ribosomal RNA". It matches the Rfam family "Bacterial small subunit ribosomal RNA", at positions 524 to 777 of the family's 1533-position model. The record is from RNAcentral.